CAAUAGCGUAUAUUAAAGUUGUUGCAGUUAAAAAGCUCGUAGUUGGAUCUGUGGUGUGCGGUGGGCUCCGGGCACUUGUUGUCUGAGUAGCUCGCCGCUGCCAUCCUUGGGUGGAACCUGUGUGGCAUUAGGUUGUCGUGCAGGGGAUGCCCAUCGUUUACUGUGAAAAAAUUAGAGUGUUCAAAGCAGGCUUAUGCCGUUGAAUAUAUUAGCAUGGAAUAAUGAGAUAGGACUUUUUCGCUAUUCUGUUGGUUUGCGCGAAGAGGUAAUGAUUAAUAGGGACAGUUGGGGGUAUUCGUAUUCCAUUGUCAGAGGUGAAAUUCUUGGAUUUUUGGAAGACGAGCUACUGCGAAAGCAUUUACCAAGGAUGUUUUCAUUAA
RNAcentral lists this ribosomal RNA (380 nucleotides) under uncultured eukaryote. RNAcentral describes it as "partial 18S ribosomal RNA". It matches the Rfam family "Eukaryotic small subunit ribosomal RNA", at positions 592 to 976 of the family's 1831-position model. The record is from RNAcentral.